RNAcentral lists this long non-coding RNA (265 nucleotides) under Mytilus galloprovincialis (Mediterranean mussel). Lineage: Eukaryota; Metazoa; Mollusca; Bivalvia; Mytilida; Mytilidae. The record is from RNAcentral.
UAACGUAACUUAAGUUACCCACAGCCCAAGAUGGAGCCGCCUUGCGUCGGUUAGAUACUUUUCUUCUAUAGAAUAACAAUACCACGAAUGCAUCAAUUAAACAACUGAAUUUAAAAGUUGUAUUAAUCGUUUAGGGAAACCCCUAAACUGGAAAGGUGAUUAAAUUCUACAAAAUAAACGAUCACAGCACGAUUUUAAAAAACACUUAGGCUGUCCGUAACUUCAAAACAUCUUGUCCGUAACUUUUUUCAUCAUACCAAUAGAG